This 883-nucleotide ribosomal RNA is filed under the name uncultured bacterium. RNAcentral describes it as "bacterial SSU rRNA". It matches the Rfam family "Bacterial small subunit ribosomal RNA", at positions 46 to 931 of the family's 1533-position model. The record is from RNAcentral.
GCCUAAUACAUGCAAGUCGAACGGGAUUGAGAGCUUGCUUUCAUGAGAGUGGCGUACGGGUGCGUAACGCGUAUGCAACCUACCUUCAUCAGGGGGAUAGCCCGAAGAAAUUCGGAUUAACACCGCAUAAAAACACAGCUUGGCAUCAAGCAAUGUUCAAAUAUUUAUAGGAUGAAGAUGGGCAUGCGUGUCAUUAGCUAGUUGGUAAGGUAACGGCUUACCAAGGCUACGAUGACUAGGGGAUCUGAGAGGAUGACCCCCCACACUGGUACUGAGACACGGACCAGACUCCUACGGGAGGCAGCAGUAAGGAAUAUUGGUCAAUGGAGGCAACUCUGAACCAGCCAUGCCGCGUGCAGGAAGACUGCCUUAUGGGUUGUAAACUGCUUUUAUACGGGAAUAAACCUUAAUUCGUGAAUUAAGCUGAAUGUACCGUAAGAAUAAGGAUCGGCUAACUCCGUGCCAGCAGCCGCGGUAAUACGGAGGAUCCAAGCGUUAUCCGGAUUUAUUGGGUUUAAAGGGAGCGUAGGCGGCUUGUUAAGUCAGGGGUGAAAGACGGUGGCUCAACCAUCGCAGUGCCUUUGAUACUGACGAGCUUGAAUAUAGUUGAGGUAGGCGGAAUGUGACAAGUAGCGGUGAAAUGCAUAGAUAUGUCACAGAACACCGAUUGCGAAGGCAGCUUACUAAGCUAUUAUUGACGCUGAGGCUCGAAAGCGUGGGGAUCAAACAGGAUUAGAUACCCUGGUAGUCCACGCCCUAAACGAUGAUAACUCGAUGUUGGCGAUAUACAGUCAGCGUCCAAGCGAAAGCGUUAAGUUAUCCACCUGGGGAGUACGCCCGCAAGGGUGAAACUCAAAGGAAUUGACGGGGGCCCGCACAAGCG